This 498-nucleotide ribosomal RNA is filed under the name uncultured bacterium. RNAcentral describes it as "partial 16S ribosomal RNA". It matches the Rfam family "Bacterial small subunit ribosomal RNA", at positions 28 to 507 of the family's 1533-position model. The record is from RNAcentral.
GACGAACGCUGGCAGCGUGCCUAAUACAUGCAAGUCGAGCGAAGUUUUCUGGUGCUUGCACUAGAAAAACUUAGCGGCGAACGGGUGAGUAACACGUAAAGAACCUGCCUCAUAGACUGGGACAACUAUUGGAAACGAUAGCUAAUACCGGAUAACAGCAUUAACUGCAUGGUUGAUGUUUAAAAGUUGGUUUUGCUAACACUAUGAGAUGGCUUUGCGGUGCAUUAGCUAGUUGGUGGGGUAAAGGCCUACCAAGGCGACGAUGCAUAGCCGACCUGAGAGGGUGAUCGGCCACACUGGGACUGAGACACGGCCCAGACUCCUACGGGAGGCAGCAGUAGGGAAUCUUCCGCAAUGGGCGAAAGCCUGACGGAGCAACGCCGCGUGAGUGAAGAAGGAUUUCGGUUCGUAAAGCUCUGUUGUUAGGGAAGAAUGAUUGUGUAGUAACUAUACACAGUAGAGACGGUACCUAACCAGAAAGCCACGGCUAACUACGUG